CUUCAGGGCAGGGUGAGCCACUCAUGGCAAUUCCCGACCGGCGGUUAUAGUCCGCGAAACCUUCGGGUUUGAUUUGGUGAAACUCCAAAACCGACAGUAUAGUCUGGAUGGAAGAAGU
RNAcentral lists this non-coding RNA (118 nucleotides) under uncultured Cetobacterium sp. RNAcentral's name for it is "FMN riboswitch (RFN element)". It matches the Rfam family "FMN riboswitch aptamer (RFN element)". Rfam says of the family: The RFN element is a highly conserved domain that is found frequently in the 5'-untranslated regions of prokaryotic mRNAs that encode for flavin mononucleotide (FMN) biosynthesis and transport proteins. The record is from RNAcentral. Lineage: Bacteria; Fusobacteriati; Fusobacteriota; Fusobacteriia; Fusobacteriales; Fusobacteriaceae.